RNAcentral lists this unclassified non-coding RNA (545 nucleotides) under Aspergillus tubingensis. RNAcentral's name for it is "sequence contains 18S rRNA gene, ITS1, 5.8S rRNA gene, ITS2, 28S rRNA gene". The record is from RNAcentral. Lineage: Eukaryota; Fungi; Ascomycota; Eurotiomycetes; Eurotiales; Aspergillaceae.
GGGCAUGCUCUACCGACCUGAUCGAGGUCACCUGUAGAAAAUGGUUGGGUUGGUCGGCUGGCGCCGGCCGGGCCUCCUGAGCGGGUGACAAAGCCCCAUACGCUCGAGGACCGGACGCGGUGCCGCCGCUGCCUUUCGGGCCCGUCCCCCCGGAGAGGGGGACGGCGACCCAACACACAAGCCGGGCUUGAGGGCAGCAAUGACGCUCGGACAGGCAUGCCCCCCGGAAUACCGGGGGGCGCAAUGUGCGUUCAAAGACUCGAUGAUUCACUGAAUUCUGCUAUUCACAUUAUUUAUCGCAUUUCGCUGCGUUCUUCAUCGAUGCCGGAACCAAGAGAUCCAUUGUUGAAAGUUUUAACUGAUUGCAUUCAAUCAACUCAGACUGCACGCUUUCAAACAGUGUUCGUGUUGGGGUCUCCGGCGGGCACGGGCCCGGAGGCAACAGGCGACAGAUAGACGGCGAAGGAAGGUUGGAACCCGAGGAGCCACGCUCGACAAUAAACCCUCCUGAGGAGCCCCUUCCGAAGUUUCGUCUUUCAAAUCUU